CAGCCCCGAUGAUGGCAGCACUGGGCUCUGAGCGCUGUGAAGACGUCGGUGCCCCCUGGGCCUUUGACUCCCAGGGGUCUGAGGGGCUG
Molecule: small nucleolar RNA, 89 nt
Organism: Monodelphis domestica (gray short-tailed opossum)
Lineage: Eukaryota; Metazoa; Chordata; Mammalia; Didelphimorphia; Didelphidae
Source: Ensembl